CCAAUCUAAGUGCUGUUUUAGUUUUAGUAUAUAAUUUACUUGUAGCUGCCAAAAAAAUAGAGCAUGCCAGGGUUGGGGUGAAUACCAUUUUAAAUCCAGUCAAUUCAGGAAGUACACUCAAAUUCCAAUUCUCUUCAAUGCUUUUCAAUGAGGAACAUUUUGAACUGUAAUUGGGUUUACAUUCUGAAUUGACUGAAAUUGAAAUGGUAUUGACCACAACCCUGGAGAAUACCAUAUUGUAGUUCAUGACAGCAUACCAUACUGUAGUUCAUGACAGCAUACCAUACUGUAGUUCAUGACAGCAUACCCUACUGUAGUUCAUGACAGCAUACCAUACUGUAGUUCAUGACAGCAUACCAUACUGUAGUUCAUGACAGCAUACCCUACUGUAGUUCAUGACAGCAUACCAUACUGUAGUUCAUGACAGCAUACCAUACUGUAGUUCAUGACAGCAUACCCUACUGUAGUUCAUGACAGCAUACCAUACUGGAGUUCAUGACAGCAUACCAUACUGUAGUUCAUGACAGCAUACCCUACUGUAGUUCAUGACAGCAUACCAUACUGGAGUUCAUGACAGCAUACCAUACUGUAGUUCAUGACAGCAUACCAUACUGUAGUUCAUGACAGCAUACCAUACUGUAGUUCAUGACAGCAUACCAUUUUGUAGUUCAUGACAGCAUACCAUUUUGUAGUUCAUGACAGCGUAGGGGUACUGUACUUCAUGACAGCAUAGGGGUACUGUAGUUCAUGACAGCAUACCAUACUGUAGUUCAUGACAGCAUACCAUACUGUAGUUCAUGACAGCAUACCAUUUUGUAGUUCAUGACAGCGUAGGGGUACUGUAGUUCAUGACAGCAUAGGGGUACUGUAGUUCAUGACAGCAUACCAUACUGUAGUUCAUGACAGCAUACCCUACUGUAGUUCAUGACAGCAUACCAUACUGUAGUUCAUGACAGCAUACCAUUUUGUAGUUCAUGACAGCAUACCAUACUGUAGUUCAUGAGAGCAUACCAUACUGUAGUUCAUGACAGCAUACCAUACUGUAGUUCAUGACAGCAUACCAUACUGUAGUUCAUGACAGCAUACCAUUUUGUAGUUCAUGACAGCAUAGGGGUACUGUAGUUCAUGACAGCAUACCAUACUGUAGUUCAUGACAGCAUACUAUACUGUAGUUCAUGACAGCAUACCCUACUGUAGUUCAUGACAGCAUACCAUACUGUAGUUCAUUACAGCAUACCAUUUUGUAGUUCAUGACAGCAUAGGGGUACUGUAGUUCAUGACAGCAUACCCUACUGUAGUUCAUGACAGCAUACUAUACUGUAGUUCAUGACAGCAUACCAUACUGUAGUUCAUGACAGCAUACCAUUGUGUAGUUCAUGACAGCAUACUAUACUCUAGUUCAUGACAGCAUACCAUACUGUAGUUCAUGACAGCAUACCAUUGUGUAGUUCAUGACAGCAUACCAUUUUGUAGUUCAUGACAGCAUAGGGGUACUGUAGUUCAUGACAGCAUACCAUACUGUAGUUCAUGACAGCAUACCAUACUGUAGUUCAUGACAGCAUACCCUACUGUAGUUCAUGACAGCAUAUUAUACUGUAGUUCAUGACAGCAUAGGGGUAAUGUAGUUCAUGACAGCAUACCAUUUUGUAGUUCAUGACAGCAUACCCUACUGUAGUUCAUGACAGCAUACCCUACUGUAGUUCAUGACAGCAUACCCUACUGUAGUUCAUGACAGCAUACCCUACUGUAGUUCAUGACAGCAUACCCUACUGUAGUUCAUGACAGCAUACCAUACUGUAGUUCAUGACAUGUUCAUUUGUUUUCAUGACAACGUCCAUUUUGUCUGCUGGGAAGGGAUGUAUAUGCAGAUGCUUUGAAAUGGACAAUACUUUCCCAGUUUACGUCCCCAACGCUGGCUUGCUCUCCAUAUCUGUAUGUGAAAUAGCUCAACUCAGAGAUGUAAUGAGGUCCAUUGUGUUUUGUGGCGUAUAACAAAGUUAUUAUAAAGAAGGACUUCGUCAGACUCGCAGGUCCAAUAGACAAAUUUGACAAUCAAACACCAACCAGGGCUGUCCUCAAAGAACUUGAACGAGCGAACAUUGAUUUCUUGGUGUAUUUUAGAAAUGUGAUUUUGUUGUAAUGUUUUGAUGAUAGCUUGAGGGUGGUCAGGAGACGACUUCAACCCAACCUUUCUCUGUCUGAUUUCAAGAUUUUUGAACAUGGUUUUUAGAAUUAUUUUGAUAUAAAGAGUUUCAAAUCAAACGAUCUAGCAUUCAUCUUGCAGAGAAUAGCAUGUCAGUAAUAAACAAUACUACUCCAGGUAUUUUGCGUAGGACAAGGCUACACUGUGACAGUGCUGAUUUCAGACCAUAAGCUAAUGUGUUUGAACUGAGAGCCAGUUAGAAGCUAUUACCACCGAAAUACGACUGUCACACAAAUACAACCCAAAGUUCAGUGUUUUACCAUGUCAGUUGUAUGUUCUUAAAAAAAGGAAACUAAUUGUGUUUGUGCUCAAUGUGAAAGAAACAAACGGAUUAACUCCUAGAGGUUUUUGAAGGUAAUAAAAUGUAACUUGUAAACAGUGGUUCUUGGGAUAGAGUAACAUUUUGUGUGAGACUUUCUCCUUCAUGACCUUGUUGUCUUGCGAUGUCGCUAUAUGUGUGCUAGUAUUUCGUUAGGUGUGCCAGUGGUUUCUGGUUGGUCUGAAACUGCUGAUGACGUGUAUUACUGCUGUAAAGUGCCCUCUGUAUGGAAACAGUGGAGCACAUCCUACUCAUGUAACACCAUUACUAUUGCUGAUCUCCUCAUCCUCCACAUCCUAAUCCUCCUCCUCCACAUCCUCCAUAUCCACAUCCUCCAUAUCCACAUCCUCCACAUCCUCCUCCUCCUCCUCCUCAUCCAUAUUAACCUCUUCCUCCUCCACAUCCUCCACAUCCUCCUCCUCCUCCUCCUCCUCCUCCUCC
This 2963-nucleotide long non-coding RNA is filed under the name Salmo salar (Atlantic salmon). RNAcentral's name for it is "lncRNA (ENSSSAG00000112357.1)". Lineage: Eukaryota; Metazoa; Chordata; Actinopteri; Salmoniformes; Salmonidae. The record is from RNAcentral.